Molecule: transfer RNA, 85 nt
Filed under: Crocuta crocuta (spotted hyena)
Lineage: Eukaryota; Metazoa; Chordata; Mammalia; Carnivora; Hyaenidae
Also listed under: 5 other names
Rfam family: tRNA
About the family: Transfer RNA (tRNA) molecules are approximately 80 nucleotides in length. Their secondary structure includes four short double-helical elements and three loops (D, anti-codon, and T loops).
Source: Rfam by way of RNAcentral
GCCUGGGUGGCUCAGUCGGUUAAGCGUCCGACUUCGGCUCAGGUCAUGAUCUCACGGUUCGUGGGUUCGAGCCCCGCAUCGGGCU